Molecule: long non-coding RNA, 1748 nt
Filed under: Trifolium pratense (red clover)
Lineage: Eukaryota; Viridiplantae; Streptophyta; Magnoliopsida; Fabales; Fabaceae
Description: long non-coding RNA (TPRA_LNC001151)
Source: RNAcentral
GGUCAUCCAAACACAUAAACUCAAUACUUGUCUUAAGAAUUCUUCUAGCCAUUACUCACUUUCUUACAUUCCGAAUUAGCCUUAUGUUUGAACAAUCAAGAUUCACCAAUUUAGCACAUUGUCGGAUAAUCAAGAUUAAGCACUCACAUUAAAAUUGCAUUCAGAUCAUCAAUACUGACAUCGAGGAGCAUAUAUUCCAUUUACAGACUCAAGGGACAUAAAUUCAAUCUUGCAUCUAAGGCGCCAAGGGUAUUCUCAACUUACUUUUGUAGUUACAAAUAAGCAUUUACAUUGAAAAUGCAUUAAGACCAUCAAUUUUAGGGACAUCGAGGGACAUACUAUCAAUUAGGGAACUAUACUCACCAAGAGGUUCACCAGCAUCUACUCCAAAAAGAAGGGCAAUCCAUUCUAUCUUUGAAAGAAAAUUGACCAAGUUCGUCAUGGAUCCAUGUUUUAAUCCCAGCUCUAUUUAAAUGUGUUACAGAGGAUGCAUCAAUCUUACAUUUAAAUUGCCCUUUUCCAAUUAACAGCAGCCAAAUAUGUCUGUGCUGCACCAGGCUCAGCCGCUGUAGCAUUCGACAAAGGACNNNNNNNNNNNNNNNNNNNNNNNNNNNNNNNNGGGAACCUGCAUCAGACCUGAAACAGAACAAAAUCUAGCAAUCAAAAAUCAAAGAGGAGAAUGUCUUCAAACCUUAUAUCAAAAGAAAGACCACUUUUCUUUUCAACGAAUUUAAAAAUUGGCACGCGAGCCUUUCCAAUGACCUGAGAAACAUUCACAAGCAAAAUACCGUACACUUAAAAUUUUGAAAGAACACUUCAGAUUGGCAACAAAAAUACUGAUAUUUGAGUAACCAGANNNNNNNNNNNNNNNNNNNNNNNNNNNNNNNNNNNNNNNNNNNAUACUUCUCUGUGUCAAUGAUCUAGAAAUUGCAUUUAAACCAAUAUGCGGAUUCAGUAAGCCUGAUUUUAGAAUCACAACUUGUGGCCAAAAAGAUUUGAUAGCAGUGUACAUAUCAAUCAAUCGUCCAUAUGUACUAGUUCAUAUGAAAGGUUCAGUUCAGUUAAGCAUCAGAAUAUGAAAAGGAUAACGACCAUGGUUGGAUAAACAAAUUAAUUAGGGCUGAGCAUCGGGCGGGUUCGGGCCCAAAAUAGUCGGGUUCCAUGAAACCGAACAUGCAUUUUCAAGGCCCAAUUCCGCCCAUAAAUUGUAUCAGUUUGAACGGGUUCGGUUAAGACGAAACUGCGGGUCUUCGAGUCAGUUGGUUCGGGUUACAACUAGAAGAAAAAAAGAAAAGAAAAAUUGAGAAGUGAAGAAACAAAAAUGGUUUUCACUGGUUUUGUUGAAGCAUAAACAUGGCUAAGAAGAAAGGUAGAGGAAGAAGAUAAAACAGAGAGAGAAAACAAGGAUACAUUUAUUAAAAGAAUUAAUUUAAUAUAUGAGUUAUUGAGAUGGAACAUUGGAAUAGAGAAAACGUGAUGAUAAGAAAAGUUACAGAAAAGUGACAUAAAGGAGUAUUAAAAUAGUGUUAUACUAGUAUACUAGUACUAGUAUAGGCAAAAAGACUGAUAGCAUUUACUUUUUGGCAGAAAAUAUAAGUACUCACAUGACCUUUUAUACAUACCUCGAGGGACAUCGAGGGACAUACUAUCAAUUAGGGAACUAUACUCACCAAGAGGUUCACCAGCAUCUACUCCAAAAAGAAGGGCAAUCCAUUCUAUCUUUGAAAGAAAAUUGACCAAGUUCGUCA